GUGGGGAAUCUUAGACAAUGGGCGCAAGCCUGAUCUAGCCAUGCCGCGUGAGCGAUGAAGGCCUUAGGGUUGUAAAGCUCUUUCGUGGGGGAAGAUAAUGACUGUACCCCAAGAAGAAGCCCCGGCUAACUCCGUGCCAGCAGCCGCGGUAAUACGGAGGGGGCUAGCGUUGUUCGGAAUUACUGGGCGUAAAGCGCACGUAGGCGGACUGGAAAGUCAGGGGUGAAAUCCCGGGGCUCAACACCGGAACUGCCUUUGAAACUCCCAGUCUUGAGUUCGAGAGAGGUGAGUGGAAUUCCGAGUGUAGAGGUGAAAUUCGUAGAUAUUCGGAGGAACACCAGUGGCGAAGGCGGCUCACUGGCUCGAUACUGACGCUGAGGUGCGAAAGCGUGGGGAGCAAACAGGAUUAGAAACCCCAGUAGUCC
This 425-nucleotide ribosomal RNA is filed under the name uncultured bacterium. Its description in RNAcentral is "partial 16S ribosomal RNA". It matches the Rfam family "Bacterial small subunit ribosomal RNA", at positions 354 to 796 of the family's 1533-position model. The record is from RNAcentral.